AUACGUAGGUGGCAAGCGUUAUCCGGAUUUACUGGGCGUAAAGGGCGUGUAGGCGGUCUUGCAAGUCAGAAGUGAAAUUCCUGAGCUCAACUCGGGCGCUGCUUCUGAAACUGCAGGACUUGAGUGCUGGAGGGGAUAGCGGAAUUCCUAGUGGAGCGGUAAAAUGCGCAGAUAUUAGGAAGAACACCGGUGGCGAAGGCGGCUAUCUGGACAGUAACUGACACUGAGGCGCGAAAGCGUGGGGAGCAAACAGUAUUAGAUGCCCUGGUAGUCCACGCCGUAAACGAUGAAUACUAGGUGUAGGGGGUAUCGACUCCCUCUGUGCCGCAGUUAACACAAUAAGUAUUCCGCCUGGGGAGUACGGCCGCAAGGUUGAAACUCAAAGUAAUUGACGGGG
RNAcentral lists this ribosomal RNA (397 nucleotides) under uncultured bacterium. Its description in RNAcentral is "partial 16S ribosomal RNA". It matches the Rfam family "Bacterial small subunit ribosomal RNA", at positions 523 to 918 of the family's 1533-position model. The record is from RNAcentral.